GUGAACGCUGGCGGUAGGCCUAACACAUGCAAGUCGAACGGCAGCACAGUAAGAGCUUGCUCUUACGGGUGGCGAGUGGCGGACGGGUGAGGAAUACAUCGGAAUCUACUUUUUCGUGGGGGAUAACGUAGGGAAACUUACGCUAAUACCGCAUACGACCUACGGGUGAAAGCAGGGGAUCUUCGGACCUUGCGCGAUUGAAUGAGCCGAUGUCGGAUUAGCUAGUUGGCGGGGUAAAGGCCCACCAAGGCGACGAUCCGUAGCUGGUCGGAGAGGAUGAUCAGCCACACUGGAACUGAGACACGGUCCAGACUCCUACGGGAGGCAGCAGUGUGGAAUAUUGGACAAAGGGCGCAAGCCUGAUCCAGCCAUACCGCGUGGGUGAAGAAGGCCUUCGGGUUGUAAAGCCCUUUUGUUGGGAAAGAAAAGCAGCAGGUUAAUACCCCGCUGUUCUGACGGUACCCAAAGAAUAAGCACCGGCUAACUUCGUG
This 491-nucleotide ribosomal RNA is filed under the name uncultured bacterium. RNAcentral's name for it is "partial 16S ribosomal RNA". It matches the Rfam family "Bacterial small subunit ribosomal RNA", at positions 29 to 507 of the family's 1533-position model. The record is from RNAcentral.